Molecule: ribosomal RNA, 429 nt
Filed under: Chloroflexota bacterium
Lineage: Bacteria; Bacillati; Chloroflexota
Description: Chloroflexi bacterium partial 16S ribosomal RNA
Rfam family: Bacterial small subunit ribosomal RNA
Source: RNAcentral
UAGGGAAUCUUCGGCAAUGGACGAAAGUCUGACCGAGCAACGCCGCGUGAGUGAAGAAGGUUUUCGGAUCGUAAAACUCUGUUGUUAGAGAAGAACAAGGACGUUAGUAACUGAACGUCCCCUGACGGUAUCUAACCAGAAAGCCACGGCUAACUACGUGCCAGCAGCCGCGGUAAUACGUAGGUGGCAAGCGUUGUCCGGAAUUAUUGGGCGUAAAGCGAGCGCAGGCGGUUUCUUAAGUCUGAUGUGAAAGCCCCCGGCUCAACCGGGGAGGGUCAUUGGAAACUGGGUGACUUGAGUGCAGAAGAGGAGGGUGGAAUUCCAUGUGUAGCUGUGAAAUGCGUGGAGAUGUGGAGGAAUACCGGUGGCGAAGGCGGCCCCCUGGACAAAUACUGACGCUCAGGUGCGAAAGCGUGGGGAGCAAACAGG